Molecule: unclassified non-coding RNA, 341 nt
Filed under: soil metagenome
Description: partial contains 5.8S ribosomal RNA, internal transcribed spacer 2, and large subunit ribosomal RNA
Rfam family: 5.8S ribosomal RNA (bases 1-120)
Source: RNAcentral
GAUGAAGAACGUAGCGAAAUGCGAUAAGUAGUGUGAAUUGCAGAAUUCAGUGAAUCAUCGAAUCUUUGAACGCACAUUGCGCCCUUUGGUAUUCCAAAGGGCAUGCCUGUUCGAGCGUCAUUUGUACCCUCAAGCUUUGCUUGGUGUUGGGCGUCUUGUCUCUAGCUUUGCUGGAGACUCGCCCUAAAGUAAUUGGCAGCCGGCCUACUGGUUUCGGAGCGCAGCACAAGUCGCACUCUCUAUCAGCAAAGGUCUAGCAUCCAUUAAGCCUUUUUUUCAACUUUUGACCUCGGAUCAGGUAGGGAUACCCGCUGAACUUAAGCAUAUCAAUAAGCGGAGGA